RNAcentral lists this ribosomal RNA (446 nucleotides) under uncultured prokaryote. RNAcentral describes it as "bacterial SSU rRNA". It matches the Rfam family "Bacterial small subunit ribosomal RNA", at positions 355 to 796 of the family's 1533-position model. The record is from RNAcentral.
UCGAGAAUCUUCCACAAUGGGCGCAAGCCUGAUGGAGCGACGCUGCGUGUAGGAUGAAGGCCUUAGGGUUGUAAACUACUGUCACGCCAUAGGAAACCGUAGUCGUUAAUAGCGGCUACGCUGACCAAAGCGAAAGGAAGUGCCGGCUAACUCCGUGCCAGCAGCCGCGGUAAUACGGAGGGCGCAAGCGUUGUUCGGAAUCACUGGGCAUAAAGAGCAUGUAGGCGGUCUUUUAAGUCGGAUGUGAAAGCCCUCGGCCCAACCGGGGAACUGCAUUCGAUACUGAUUGACUCGAGGACAGGAGGGGUGAGUGGAACUUCAGGUGGAACGGUGAAAUGUGUAGAUAUCUGAAGGAACACCGGUGGCGAAAGCGGCUCACUGGCCUGUCUCUGACGCUGAGAUGCGAAAGCUAGGGUAGCAAACGGGAUUAGAUACCCCCGUAGUCC